GAGGAAAAGAAACCAACAGGGAUUGCCUUAGUAGCGGCGAGUGAAGCGGCAAUAGCUCAAAUUUGAAAUCUGGCACCUUCGGUGUCCGAGUUGUAAUUUGAAGAAGGUAUCUUUGGUUUUGGCUCUUGUCUAUGUUCCUUGGAACAGGACGUCACAGAGGGUGAGAAUCCCGUGCGAUGAGAUGCCCAAUUCCAUGUAAAGUUCCUUCGACGAGUCGAGUUGUUUGGGAAUGCAGCUCUAAGUGGGUGGUAAAUUCCAUCUAAAGCUAAAUAUUGGCGAGAGACCGAUAGCGAACAAGUACUGUGAAGGAAAGAUGAAAAGAACUUUGAAAAGAGAGUGAAAAAGUACGUGAAAUUGUUGAAAGGGAAGGGCUUGAGAUUAGACUUGGAAUUUUCCAUUUAUGGAGCUUUCCGGGCCAGCAUCAGUUUGGAUGGCAGGAUAAUUGCGUUGGAAAGUAGCACCACUUCGGUGGUGUGUUAUAGACUUCGUCGAUACUGCCUAUCUAGACUGAGGACCGCGUCUUUGACUAGGAUGCUGGCGUAAUGAUCUUAAGCCGCCCG
RNAcentral lists this ribosomal RNA (560 nucleotides) under Yamadazyma membranifaciens. RNAcentral's name for it is "[Candida] membranifaciens partial large subunit ribosomal RNA". It matches the Rfam family "Eukaryotic large subunit ribosomal RNA", at positions 53 to 651 of the family's 3401-position model. The record is from RNAcentral. Lineage: Eukaryota; Fungi; Ascomycota; Pichiomycetes; Serinales; Debaryomycetaceae.